This 473-nucleotide ribosomal RNA is filed under the name uncultured bacterium. RNAcentral describes it as "SSU rRNA". It matches the Rfam family "Bacterial small subunit ribosomal RNA", at positions 26 to 518 of the family's 1533-position model. The record is from RNAcentral.
AGGACGAACGCUGGCGGCGUGCUUAACACAUGCAAGUCGAGCGGAAAGGCCCUUCGGGGUACUCGAGCGGCGAACGGGUGAGUAAUACGUGAGCAACCUGCCCUUAGCUCUGGGAUAGCUCCGGGAAACCGGAAUUAAUACCGGAUAUGACCUAGGCCGACAUCGGCCGUGGUGGAAAGUUUUUCGGCUAGGGAUGGACUCGCGGCCUAUCAGCUAGUUGGUGGGGUAAUGGCCUACCAAGGCGACGACGGGUAGCCGGCCUGAGAGGGCGACCGGCCACACUGGGACUGAGACACGGCCCAGACUCCUACGGGAGGCAGCAGUGGGGAAUCUUGCGCAAUGGGCGAAAGCCUGACGCAGCGACGCCGCGUGGGGGAUGAAGGCCUUCGGGUUGUAAACCCUUUCAGCAGGGACGAAGCGAAAGUGACGGUACCUGCAGAAGAAGCGCCGGCUAACUACGCGCCAGCAGCCGC